GAGCUGUGUGCGGUGCCGCCGCAAGUCGUACACUGGGGACCGGGGUUCAGGUCUUACUAACGCGGCAGAAACCUCGCCUCCAGACUCGGGCCGCUCCGUACCUGCGGGUGCGAGCACCUUGCUGCGAGCCGUUUUCUCCUAGACCGUGGAGCCAGGCCAGAUAACCCGCAUCCUAUCCGCCCUGCGCAUUUCGCCAGGGACAGAAACAGGUAUAGGCAUCAGUGAUAAACGCUAUGCAGAAAACGAAGCAAGAGUAUGCUGGCAGGCGUUUUUAACCUUUUGGUUCUGUGAUGUGCAGACGGUUUGCAGUACGGUCAGACAUGGAGGAUUACAACAACAACCUAUGGUGAAACUACCCCUGCUUUGCUUUGGAAGUCUUCUUUCGUGUCUGUAGUUGUGCUGUCCUGGCUGUCCGGGUGUCAUGAGCCAGUUCAGGAUGUUUACCUUUCGUGAUCAUUUUGACUUGAGGAAGAGCCAGAAGUUGCACGGUCCCACAUGCAUGGAGAAGCUGAGUAAAAACAUUUUAUUUUUUUGAAAUGAAAUGAGUUGAAUGGAUUACACACAAGGUAUAUACUAAGUUGAUUGGCCUUUACAGUAAAGGAGAUCGGAAUAGUCUAGUAUUACUGGUUAUUUUUCUUAUUUUGUCCAGCCGUCAUUGUGGUAAGCAAGCACGUGAUACAAUCACUUUUUUAUGGGUUAGAUAAUAAGAGCCG
RNAcentral lists this long non-coding RNA (713 nucleotides) under Heterocephalus glaber (naked mole-rat). RNAcentral describes it as "lncRNA (ENSHGLG00100034828.1)". Lineage: Eukaryota; Metazoa; Chordata; Mammalia; Rodentia; Bathyergidae. The record is from RNAcentral.